CCUACGGGUGGCAGCAGUCGGGAAUAUUGCGCAAUGGAGGAAACUCUGACGCAGUGACGCCGCGUGCAGGAAGAAGGUUUUCGGAUUGUAAACUGCUUUAGACAGGGAAGAAAAAAGACAGUACCAGUAGAAUAAGCUCCGGCUAACUACGUGCCAGCAGCCGCGGUAAUACGUAGGGGGCAAGCGUUAUCCGGAUGUAUUGGGUGUAAAGGGUGGGUAGACGGAGAAGCAAGUUAGUUGUGAAAUCCCUCGGCUUAACUGAGGAACUGCAACUAAAACUACUUCCUUUGAGUACGGGAGAGGAAAGUGGAAUUCCUGGUGUAGCGGUGAAAUGCGUAGAGAUUAGGAGGAACACUAGUUGCGAAGGCGACCUGCUGGACAGUAACUGACGUUGAGGCACGAAAGUGUGGGGAGCAAACAGGAUUAGAUACCCGGGUAGUC
This 441-nucleotide ribosomal RNA is filed under the name uncultured bacterium. RNAcentral describes it as "partial 16S ribosomal RNA". It matches the Rfam family "Bacterial small subunit ribosomal RNA", at positions 338 to 795 of the family's 1533-position model. The record is from RNAcentral.